UAUCGACCAACUUCUAUCAUUUUGGCUUAUAUAUACACGCACAUGGCUAAGUAAGAUGAAAUAUACGUUCUUGAAACAAACAGCUGUGGCCCCUUUGAGAAGAACCUCCUUCUUAGAAGGCAUUAGAAAGAAAGCAGCUUUAUUUUUAAGCUUCCUUGACCACCGUUAUGUUGAUGAACUUCCCGCCCACUCAUGGAAAAGAGUUCCACAUUCCUAACACCUCCAGCUCUGAGUCUCCAAAUUCACCUUCACUUCGCAUUGACCCCAGGAAACAUAGAUUUGGGCUCCCUUUUGAAGACGAGGAAGGAGGUUUAUCUCUAGUAAAAACAGGCCCUCGGUGGACAAAAGAAGUGAUGAUUGAUCAAACGGGAUUCAGAAUUCCAGGCAUGCCAACAUAUUGCUAGGUUAAAUGGUAGAGAUGACCCCACGACCCUGUGCUGUUGGAAAAUGCAUAAAAGAACUCUGGCAACAUGCUCCACAUUCCUAUUUGUACUUGAUAAUCUUACAUGUUUUACAUUCUACCUGUGGUGACUUUUCACUCAGCUCGCAGUGGGACUUAUUCAGCCAUAAUUUGCAGAGAAUCCUCUUGCUGGAUGUAUGCAACUGGCACCUAGGAAGGACGGGGUAGAGGAGAGGAGAGCAGAGAGAGUAAGAUGGUGCCACUGACACCAGGAAGUGCCCAGCCUGAGAACACGGAAUACAGCAGAGCUAUGGAUUAACUGCCAUGUGAGCUCAGGGAGAGAAUGACUCAUGCUGCCUGAGGUUGAUCUCGAAUGCCUUGUGGUGUUUUGUGACCUAUGAAACAUUGGCAGCCCACAGUUGCCGCCUCACCAUUCCAUUUUGCUCCUCAGCACUGCCAAGGUUAGAUUUCUGGUCUUAACCUCAGCCCUCCUCCUGUCUGCAUCCCUUAAAACCCUACACAAGCCCCAGCACCAUUUCUCUAAGCAAACGCUUACUCGAUUCCAGUUAGCCAGUUUUUCUAUUCCUCACUCCAAAUUAAAUUGAAGUGUCCCUCUCUAUUGCCUGUUAAGCAGUCACGUGUAGAAAGCUUUGGGGGAUACUGAGGGUCCCUUUUCCUUCAGAAAGCUUAUCAGCCAGUGGGAGAGUUAGACACGUUAAACAUGUAAUUGGAAAAAGAUGCAGUAACAGAGGGGCAAAGAGCAUGUGGCGAGCACUUAAAGCAGUGCCAAGUUUCGGUCUGAUGGGACCACAGAAGUUUUCACAAAGGUCUGGCAUGUAAGCUGAACCAACAGGCAAGGACACCUUUCUCUGAGGCAAGGAAAUGUGCAGGCAAAGGACUAAAGACACAUGGGUAGGUGACUAAGAGCAUCACCAGAGCAUGAGCUACAUGGAGGAACUGAAUAAAGGGCUGCUGAUCUGCACCCCAUUGGAUCCAAUAAAAAGUUACUCUGGGGAUAAUGGGGGUGAUUUGAAGUUUUCUUAGGAAAACAAACAAACAAACAAACAAACAAACAAAACAAUGGCUUACACUUGACCUCUGAUUUAGAAUGGUAACUCUGGAAGCAGUGAGAAAGACAGAUUGAAGAGACUCAAGUCAAGCUAAAAUGGAUCCAUGGCAAUGAACCAGUAACAGUGGGGAUAGAGGACUGUAAGAAAACAAGCCCAGGUAGAGGCUGAAGUCAAUGUUUUCCCAGUAUGGACAAGGCUUCACUGUCACAUCUCCACUUCUACCCUUCCCUUUCAACAACCAAACAAGUGACCGAAGAAAUCAGAUGUUAAUUGAAUAAAAUGUUCUCUAUCAAGAACAGUACUGUCCAAUAGGAACUUCUGCAGUAAUGGAUAUUGAUCACUUGCAAUGUGGCCACUGUGACUCCAUAACUGGAUUUUUAAAUGUUAUUUAAUAUUAACUAAUUUUAAUUUACAUAGCCUCAUGUGGCUAAUGCCACCAUAUUGACAGUGCCACCCUGGAGAAUAAAAUUUUACUGACUGAGUCAAGACAUUCAAAACAUUUCUGAAAAAUUUACAUUAUAUUUCUACCAAUUAUCAGAUGACAGUGGCUUUGCUGGAUUUUAAAGAUGAUAUCCAUCUACCUUUCAAAAGCCCCAAUUAAUAAAUAAGAUGCUGCACUUAUAUUUAGCUC
Canis lupus familiaris (dog) is the source of this 2101-nucleotide long non-coding RNA. RefSeq lists it as uncharacterized. The transcript has 3 exons. Lineage: Eukaryota; Metazoa; Chordata; Mammalia; Carnivora; Canidae. The record is from RefSeq and is a predicted model, not a curated record.